RNAcentral lists this ribosomal RNA (885 nucleotides) under Tylos sp. clade B MM-2013. RNAcentral describes it as "partial 18S small subunit ribosomal RNA". It matches the Rfam family "Eukaryotic small subunit ribosomal RNA", at positions 460 to 873 of the family's 1831-position model. The record is from RNAcentral. Lineage: Eukaryota; Metazoa; Arthropoda; Malacostraca; Isopoda; Tylidae.
GGAGGUAGUGACGUGAAAUAACGAUGCGGGACUCUUCCGAGGCCUCGCAAUCGGAAUGAGUUAACUUUAAAUCCUUUCGACGAGGAUCGAUUGGAGGGCAAGUCUGGUGCCAGCAGCCGCGGUAAUUCCAGCUCCAAUAGCGUAUAUUAAAGUUGCUGCGGUUAAAAAGCUCGUAGUUCAAUCUCACGAUUCGAAAGGAGGUAGGUGAGCGCCGUCUUAGUAGUAGUAGUACUACCACUAGGAAACCUCGAAUUCACCUUCUCUCAUUCGUCUCGUUGAUACGGUAGGAGGAGGAGGAGGAGAAGGAGGACUAGUACAGGGAUGUCGAAAGCUCGAAGAAGACGGUACGAGUUGAUUUUCUGACGGUGGUGACGGAGGCUAUCGUUGCUGCUGCUGCUGCUGUUUCUACUGCGGUGGUACGCUAGGGGCAAACGACAGUCGCCGCUGCCGCUUCUAUUUCGUUCAUCGUCGAAUUUAUUCUUCGUUGUUGCUUGGGCUCCUGUAUUAUGUACCUUCCUUCCUUCCUUCCAACAGCGGACGAAAAAGAAAGAAAGAGAAAGAGAGGGCGGAAACGGGGUAUCACGGCGGCGUAACCAAUCACCCGUCCUUUUCGUUGAGAAACAUUGUCCGGCCGGCCAGCGGCGUAGUAGUCAACCCCGGAAUGGGUGGUUUUGUUGUAUUAUUAUUAUAAUAGUACCUCUUCCACCUUCGAUGGUGUUGCUGGCUCUCGCGCGCUCGCGUUCGGUCGGCAACUUCACUUUGACAAAAUUAGAGUGCUCAGAGCGGGCAAGAUCUGAAGCCCGAAUGGAGGUGCAUAGAAUGAUCUAAGAUGACCUCGCGAUCUAAACGUUUGUCGGUUUAUGGGGUCGCGAGGUAAUGAUUAAA